UACUGUUAUGGAGGCAAUAUCAACUAGACUGAUGUUAAAUUCAGUCAGAAAACACCACAUCAUGAUCAUCUUCUACUGUAUAAUCCUAAAUGUGAUGCUGGUUUCAGGCUCUUCUCUGAGUGACAAGGUCGAUCAGAAACCAUCUGAAAUGUACAUCGAAGCUGCAAAAACAGCCAACAUCAGCUGUAUACACGAUAUUCAAGACUACACCCGAAUCUUCUGGUACAAGCAGUCAGAGAACCAUCGGAUGCAGCUCCUGGGAUAUAUGAAUGUAAACCAGGAAAAUCUAGAGGAUGGGGUGAAUGUGAAGAUGCACGGGGGAGCAACUAGAGGCCAGACCUGCACAUUAACCAUCAAAGACGCCAGUCAGAGCAGCAGUGCAGUUUACUUCUGUGCUGCUAGUCGACACAGUGCUGCAUAUCGACGCUUCUCAAUACAAAAACCUCCCAACAACAGAUUUCUUUCAUCUCAGUCUAGCGGCUCACAGCUCCUUGCACCUGUAUGA
Stegastes partitus (bicolor damselfish) is the source of this 505-nucleotide non-coding RNA. Lineage: Eukaryota; Metazoa; Chordata; Actinopteri; Pomacentridae. The record is from the annotation of a RefSeq genome assembly.